Macrobrachium nipponense is the source of this 5595-nucleotide long non-coding RNA. RefSeq lists it as uncharacterized. Lineage: Eukaryota; Metazoa; Arthropoda; Malacostraca; Decapoda; Palaemonidae. The transcript has 3 exons. The record is from RefSeq and is a predicted model, not a curated record.
AGAUAUGGAAUUCUAAUCCUAAACGAAGUUUUAGACGAGCCGCAGUGAAAAAGGAUUGUUUUAAAUGGGCCACAACCCAAGAAUCUACAUAUGGAUAUUUGACUGGUCAAAAAUUGAUUUGCCAAUGAGAUUGAAUCAUAGUUUUUGCAGAUGAAAAUAAACCUUUGGACUACUGCUGUGAGACCUAACGAUUUGCAGGAAAAUGUCACAGAGGUCCAGCAAAGAUAGGAGAGUAUGGCAUAUCAUCUUGGCAUACACCCCUCAACAAGAGAAUAGUGAUGAGGAGGAGGAGGAAUUCGGAGAGAAAUUAGAAUACAUAUAUCAAGAGUGUUUCCAAGAAGUGAACUACUAGUGUUAUCUGAGAACAUGAAUGCCCAUGUAGGGGAGAGUUCUGAUGGUUUUGAAAAAAUACAUGGAGGUGGUGGUUUGGAAAGAAAAAAAACCAGGAAGGUGAAAGAUUAUUGGAAUUAACAGAAGCUAAGAAUCUGGUAAUCUUGAAUAAUACACAGUUAGAGAAAAGGAGAAGUCAUCUGGUAACAUACAAAAGUGGGCAAAAAUGAGACAAAAGGGUUCAAAUAGCUGUGAAGGAAAAGAGUAUAGCCAGAAGAGGGUGGAUAGAAGAUAACUACCAAACAAAAGAGGAGUAUAGACAGACAAAGAGGGAAACAAAGAGCGGUAGUAAUUGCAAAGGGAGAAGCCAGGAGAGAAUGGUAUGAGAUAAUGGGAACACCUGAGGGAGAUAAUGGGAACACCUGAGGGAGAAAAGAUAAUCUACGGAAUUGCAGAAGUGAGAAGAAAAGACAGGCAGAAUGUAGGAGAGGUCGGAAUUAUUAAAGAUGAAAGUGGAAAUAUCUUGAUUGCGGAAGAGGUAGUCAACAGAAGAUGGAGAGACGCUAUUAAACAAUGAGAAUGAGUGUGAAAAACUGGAAAAAGUUCCUCCAGUAAAAGGACCAAUAGCAAAUAUCAGAGAGAGUGAAGUCAAGAAUGCUAUAAAGGAAGAAAAAGUAAAUAAAGCUGCAGGAAAGUCAGAAGUAACAUUAGAAAUAAUUAAAGCACUGGGAAAUCUAGGAAAAGUGUGGUUGCACACAGUGUUUGAAAAUAUCUAGGAUGUAGAGGAAAUGCCAAGGUACUUGAAUGAUGGUUGGAAGAUUGAAAUGUAUAUACAAAAAGGAGAAAUAUUAAACUGGGAACUACAUAGGAAUAAAACUUUUGGAGCAUAUAUUGAAGAUACUAGAAAGAAUAGUAUCAGGAAGGUUGCGAGAGUUGACAGAUAUAUACAUAAGCAGCAGGUUAGGUUUAUGAAAGGAAAGAGCACAGUGAAUGCCAUUUUUAUAGUAAAACAAAGUCCGAGAGAAGUAUCUAGAAGGAAAUAGGAAAGUUUACAUGUGUUUUGUUGAUCUUGAAAAGGCAUAUGACAGAGAGGAGUACCAGAGAAGAUGGCAAGGUUAGUGAAGGUGAUGUAUGAGGGGGGGCAAGAGCCACUGCAGACAAAAUAUGGGGAGACAGUUAUUUCCCCAUGGAGGUUGGCCUCUAUAUCAGGGAUCAGCUCAAGUCCAUUCUUUUCCUCGUCGUUAUAGACACUGACAUCAGAUUAAGGAACAACGAAGAACUGUGGGAACUAAUAUUUGCUGAUGAUUUAGUCAUUAUAGCAGACACAGGAGAACUGUAAGAAGGGGUUUAAGCAUGGAAAGGAGCCUUGGAAAGGAAAGGAAAGGAUUGAAAGUGAUUAAUGGAAAGACAGGUAAUGAUUAGUAGUAGAGGACUUGGGAUCUGUAAUGAGAGAGGAGGGAGGUACUGAGAAAGUUGCGAGACAGAAUUGAAGAAACUUGGUGAAAAUGGAGAAAAGUAACUCGAGUUGUUUUAGACAAAUGUCAUUAAGGCUCAAAAUGAAGAUUUAUGAGUUAUCAGGCCUAUACUAUUAUAUGGGGCAAAAACUUGGGCACUUUAAAGGAAAGAGGAAGGACUGUUGGAAAGAACAGAGAUGAGGAUGGUGAGAUGGAUUGCUGGAGUAUCACAACUAUACUGGAAAGGAGGGAAGAGUCGAGAUAUAUACGACUAAUGUGUGGUAGUAUACUAUAUGUAAUGUAAAGGAAAGGAUAAGGAAGCUCGUCUGAAAUACUAUGGCCGUGUAAUAAGAGCUUCCGUGAUACUAUAGCCAUGUAAUAAGAACAGAGGAAGUGGAACCAAUCAAGAGAGCUAAGAACAUGCCAGUGAUGGGGAGGAUGAGUGUGGGGCGUCAGCGGAUCAGAUGGAUGGAUGUGGUGAGGAGGGAUAUGGGUGAGGUGGGACGGGGGAAAGAAGAUAAGAUGCAAGGAAUCGAAAUAAAUGGAGAAAGUCGACACGAGCAGCUGACCUGCUAUACAGUGGGACUAUAAGGUCAAAAGAUGAUGAUGAUGAUAUAUGAACUUCAGAAAAAUGACUGAAAAUAGUAACCACCACCUACUAUCACACUCACCCGGGCAAGCAUAUAUUGAACAAUUACCUUCUGGAUACUGCAAAUCAUAAGUAAAGUAAUGAAAAACUAGCCUUUUAACAUACAUGACUUCUCAAUAUAGGAUGGUCAAAUUAUAUCCAUGACUACCUAAUAGCUGAUAUCACACCUGUAAAGGUGUGUUUACACGAUCGAACUAUGUUCGACGGACAAAAUCGUUACCAUAUCACAGGAGAAGCAGGAUGACGUCAUAAGAGGUGAAACGAUGGAAGCGGACCUGGCAACAAGCAGUGGUACCAGAUGAGGGUGUUUACCACCGUUUCGAAUCUGCUCACAGGGCAUAGACUGGUGGACAAUGUUCGAAGGUGAUGUCCGUUGGUAACUCAGGCAUUUAAUUCAGUGUGUGGCCUUGGACGACUGGUGCAGUACAUCACUACCAUGGUACACAGGAAAAAAAACAAGGCCAAAAAAAUUGCACUAUGCAGUAUGAUCAUUGCUGUACUCUGUGAGGAGGAGGAGGAGAUGCCAAGAAGGGUAUGGUGCAAGGACUGGUUGCACAAACGAAAUGAAAGGGGAAGCCAUGCAACCGUUUUUCAAGAAUUGAGAACUGGCUAUGAAUCGGACUUCACGAACUAUAUGCGCAUGGACCCAAAUACUUUCUACGAUUUACUGGAAAAGGUUAAACCUGUUAUAACCAAGCAGGACACCUGUAUGAGGGAGAGCAUUUCACCUGCAGCACGUCUGGAAGCAACGUUGAUGUAUCUUUCCACCGGGUGCUCCUACAGUGCCCUUCAAUUCAGUACAAGAAUUUCAAAACCGAGUCCGUCUGCAAUCAUUCCUGAUACGUGCAAAGCCAUCGAUAAUGUGCUUAAGGAUCCAUACUUAAAGACACCCCAAACAGCAGAGGAGUGGGUGCGUGUAGCAGAGGGGUUUUCCAAGAAGUGGAACUUUCCUAAUUGCAUCGGAGCAGUUGACGGGAAGCACAUCCUGAUAAGGCCACCACCUGAUAGCGGCUCCUUCUACUACAACUACAAAGGAAGCCACAGCAUCGUGUUAAUGGCUGUCUCCAAUGCAGACUCAAACUUCAUAUAUGUUGACGUGGGCACUAAUGGAUGAGUGUCGGAUGGUGGAGUUUGGGAUACCUGUUCUCUCAACCAGCAUAUUGAAACAGGAUCUGUGGGUAUGCCAGAUGAUGAGACACUCCCUAACAGCUCAAAAGUAUCACCAUAUGUGAUCGUUGCUGAUGAUGCAUUUCUUCUGAAGCGCCAUAUCAUGAAACCUCUCUCUCAUCGAAAUCAAAACCUUGAGCAACGUGUGUUUUCCUACCGACUGUCAAGAGCUCGACGCACCAUAGAAAACUCAUUCGGAAUACUUGCUAACAGAUUUGAAGUGUGCACUGCACUACAUAAUUACCUUCGCACAGCACCUGUCACCCCAAAUGUGUAUUCGGAUGCAAAUAACGAAAACACUGAAGACAUCCCUGGAAUGCUACCGCUCAAGUAUGAGCAACAAACCUCCACCAUCAAUGGCACAAUUGUACGCGAUCUGUAUAUGAAAUAUUUCAAUGAGGAAGGUGCUGUGAUCUGGCAAAACAUACAUACAUGAGGCUAAGUUACAAUAACUCCUGAGUAAAAUUAUAAUAGUAAUGUAUAAUACAAAUCACCAAUGUUGCAUAUUGAACAUACUUUACAUUGCUUUGUUGACAAAUGUAUUAUAAAGGUGGAUUAUGGCUAUAAAGGUGGAUUAUGGCAAUAAAGAAAAUAUGGCCAUGGUUUGGUUUAUAUUUUUUUUUUUUUUUCUCAAUGUAAGACAGGUAAACAGACAGAUAUACGACAAUUACGUACUCACCUCAUGAUCAGACACUUCUUCAGGUACAUGAGACACUUGGCUAUCCAUACUUGACACGGAUUCUCUCAUGCUGUCGCCAUCGUUGAGGAAGCAAAGAUCAUCAAAACACCAUAAUAUGGGGGUGUAAAUGUCGUCAGCACCAGCCCCCGACUUCUUUGAUUUCCCCAGUUUAUGUAGCUCUCGCCUAUAUUGACUACGGAUGGAUUUAUUUUUUUCUUCACUUCAGAAGCAGUAACAGAUAAUCCACUUCUAUUCAUUCCCGCCGUUAUUUCAUUGAUGGCUGCGACAUGUUUGUUCCUAUCCUUGUACACAUCAGCCUUGACAUUCCAUAAGCAUGGAUUUUGCCAGUAUACUAGUUCUAUUAGUAGCAGGGUCUCUUUUCUGUCCCAGUGGCAACUUUUCUCCUUGACAGGUACUGCUGGCCAUGUUAACAGGACAAUCGAGACUUUGAACUGACGGACUUUGAAAAUCCUGUAACCAAGUGACUUUGUUCGUCGUGUGCCUGGCAGCAUUGUAUACUUCCACACCAGACAGUGUGUGACAUUUCGAUGCUAGGAACACGGACAGUGUCCGGUACACCACUUGGUGCUCGCUUCUGACGUCAUCAGCGAGCCUUUUUGCUUUCCACUGCUAGUUGGUAACAAUUAUAUCCUUAACACACAGAGAUACCUCAUAUAUAAAGACUCCUCCAGUUCCUAUUUAGAAAAUACAAACAUUGAUAAUAUAAUGAACAUUAUCUUUCUUACAACAGUCGAAGGAGAUCAGACAAUCUCUUUCAUGUAUUUGGCAAGAUUUUUCAGCACCAACAAUGUCUCGUCUCUCAUCACCUCCCCUAAUUGGCUCAGUUAUUUUCAGUCAGAGUAAUUUGCUGCUAUCUACUGAAUUUCUUACAGUAAUUCUCAAAAGCCAAAUCAUUAUAUAUGUGAAAUACAACGGACCCAUAAUCACUAGGAAAUGACAGACAAAAUGAAAAAUAAAAAAUUUCAAAAUACCAAUAUUUUUAUAUAAAGUUAUGAAUACGAAAAAGAUCUACAUUCAAGCUCAUUUUCUAUUGCAUUUAUAAUUAUUUUACCAAAAUUAAUAAACUUCUUAAAAAUAUUCUAAAAGUUACUGGCACUGCUAGUACACAAGCUUCAGUUUCUCUUUCACUCUCACCAGCUGUUCAGUCUAUCUUAAGCUUAGGUAAAAAUCUUGAAUCGAUUCAUUAUGAAAUUCUAUAAAACCAACUUCUUAAAAAAAAAAAAAUUAUUUCAUGUUCAUCAAGCACCUACCUUUCUGAAAAGUGUUGCAGAACAUUUUUGGAGAAUUUCCUUCAA